RNAcentral lists this ribosomal RNA (301 nucleotides) under uncultured bacterium. RNAcentral describes it as "partial 16S ribosomal RNA". It matches the Rfam family "Bacterial small subunit ribosomal RNA", at positions 509 to 807 of the family's 1533-position model. The record is from RNAcentral.
CAGUCGCCACGGGAAUACGGAGGGGGCUAGCGUUGUUCGGAAUUACUGGGCGUAAAGCGCACGUAGGCGGCUUUGUAAGUCAGAGGUGAAAGCCCGGGGCUCAACCCCGGAAUUGCCUUUGAGACUGCAUCGCUUGAAUCCAGGAGAGGUGAGUGGAAUUCCGAGUGUAGAGGUGAAAUUCGUAGAUAUUCGGAAGAACACCAGUGGCGAAGGCGGCUCACUGGACUGGUAUUGACGCUGAGGUGCGAAAGCGUGGGGAGCAAACAGGAUUAGAUACCCGCGUAGUCCCUGUCUCUUAUAC